Molecule: ribosomal RNA, 679 nt
Filed under: Rhodococcus sp. I11A-02682
Lineage: Bacteria; Bacillati; Actinomycetota; Actinomycetes; Mycobacteriales; Nocardiaceae
Description: bacterial SSU rRNA
Rfam family: Bacterial small subunit ribosomal RNA
Source: RNAcentral
ACGAGCGGCGAACGGGUGAGUAACACGUGGGUGAUCUGCCCUGCACUCUGGGAUAAGCUUGGGAAACUGGGUCUAAUACCGGAUAUGACCACAGCAUGCAUGUGUUGUGGUGGAAAGAUUUAUCGGUGCAGGAUGGGCCCGCGGCCUAUCAGCUUGUUGGUGGGGUAAUGGCCUACCAAGGCGACGACGGGUAGCCGACCUGAGAGGGUGACCGGCCACACUGGGACUGAGACACGGCCCAGACUCCUACGGGAGGCAGCAGUGGGGAAUAUUGCACAAUGGGCGGAAGCCUGAUGCAGCGACGCCGCGUGAGGGAUGAAGGCCUUCGGGUUGUAAACCUCUUUCAGCAGGGACGAAGCGUGAGUGACGGUACCUGCAGAAGAAGCACCGGCUAACUACGUGCCAGCAGCCGCGGUAAUACGUAGGGUGCGAGCGUUGUCCGGAAUUACUGGGCGUAAAGAGUUCGUAGGCGGUUUGUCGCGUCGUUUGUGAAAACCCGGGGCUCAACUUCGGGCUUGCAGGCGAUACGGGCAGACUUGAGUGUUUCAGGGGAGACUGGAAUUCCUGGUGUAGCGGUGAAAUGCGCAGAUAUCAGGAGGAACACCGGUGGCGAAGGCGGGUCUCUGGGAAACAACUGACGCUGAGGAACGAAAGCGUGGGUAGCAAACAGGAUUAGAUA